Labeo rohita (rohu) is the source of this 1236-nucleotide long non-coding RNA. RefSeq lists it as uncharacterized. The transcript is spliced from 3 exons. NCBI's taxonomy places the organism in Eukaryota, Metazoa, Chordata, Actinopteri, Cypriniformes, Cyprinidae. The record is from RefSeq and is a predicted model, not a curated record.
UGUGGCAAGUAGCCAUAUAAUAAGCAAGAUCAUUUCACAGUGGGGUCUUGUAUCACCCUGAAAACGAUCUAGGGAUGUACCGAAAUGAAAAUUCUUGGCCGAAACUGAAACUGCUUUGUAAUAAUUAUUUAUUAUUUUAUUAAAUAAUAUAGUCAAGACUUUUAAAUUUAACUCAAUAAUUUUAAUGAUACUGAAUAAAAAAAAAAAUCAAAAGCCAAUAAAAUAACCACGUUUAUGAAAAGUAAAAAUAAAAUUGGACAGAAAAUAUAUGAAUAUUAAAUCUCAAUAUAUUAUUUUUAUUCAGUUCUAUGAAACCGAAUUAGAUAUAACUUUCUUUGACUAAUUAUCAAAAUAAUGUAUAGUCCUACAAAGCUAUUAUUAGAGCAUGUGAGCAGAGCAAACCGUCACGAGAGGGUAGCGUCAUUUUACCAGCGUUGUCCAGUACUGCAGUACUACACCAUGUUACAGCACAGUAUGCGACACUGUUGCAAACAGGAACAAGUAUACAUAGACAUUUUCUGUCGGCGCGUUAUUUGAGCGGACUUUGCUUUUCCAGUGAGCAUAAGCCGUACACGAGUGGAGCAUUCAUAUGGGCCGUGAUCAACUCAAUGGAACGCACAUUCAUAGAGCGGAAUAUUGAGCGGAGCGUCACACAUUGAAUGGUGCGCGCUGAAUACUGCCGGGCGGCGCGGCAGAUAUUUUCGGUCGUUUAUCACUUUCGAAUCUCUACAAAAUUCGGCUGACUGUACGAGGAGCGUCUCGCUGCAGCCUGCGGUGGACAUCCAACCCCGCGCACAUCCAAGGGCGACGUCACAAACCACGCCCGUGUCCAAAAACGUCACAUUCAUUCAUCAUUUUGAAACAGGAAGAAGCAUCGAAAAGACCUUGUUGUUUGCCGUGUGGUCCAAGCCUGAUGCAGGGCAGUUCUGCCGGGUUGAGGGGUCCCUGCUGCAGUUUUACCUAUGCUAUACUAAUGGCUAAUUACAAUUCACAUGGAGGACCACAUAAGCCAUGCAGUAGUGCGUGGAGGAGUGCCAAGAGGACAUAAAGUGGAAGUUUGCAAAGGUCCAUCGUGGUGCUGGAAACGGAGUCAAUGUGAUUUAUUCUGUGGGGUGGUGAAAGGUCCUGCCUUUCUACAGAUGGACAGUAAAAAUCAACAGAAUGCCAUCAAAGACUAUCGUGGGGGGAGAAUCGGAUGAAGCAAGAGAUGUCUUUUUAUUCAUCUUUGAGUAUCUG